RNA transcript from Lemur catta (Ring-tailed lemur), 1340 nucleotides. It is a transcript of the gene named cyclin Q, with no coding region annotated. NCBI's taxonomy places the organism in Eukaryota, Metazoa, Chordata, Mammalia, Primates, Lemuridae. The transcript has 6 exons. The record is from RefSeq and is a predicted model, not a curated record.
GGCCUCAUGGAGGCCUUUAGGCCGGAGAGCGGCGAAGGGGCUGCGGCGCGGGGGCCCGAGGGGCGGCUGGCAACCGACGCGAGGGUACAUUUCCGUGUGACCAGGUUCAUCAUGGAGGCAGGUGUCAAGCUGGGGAUGCGUUCCAUUCCCAUUGCCACUGCCUGCACCAUUUACCAUAAGUUCUUCUGUGAGACCAACCUGGACGCCUAUGACCCUUACCUGGUCGCCAUGUCUUCCAUUUACUUGGCUGGCAAAGUGGAGGAGCAGCACCUGCGUACCCGUGACAUCAUCAAUGUGUCCAACAGGUACUUUAACCCAGGCAGCGAGCCCUUGGAACUGGACGCCCGCUUCUGGGAGCUCCGAGAUAGCAUUGUGCAGUGUGAGCUGCUCAUGCUGAGAGUUCUGCGCUUCCAGGUCUCCUUCCAGCAUCCCCACAAGUACCUGCUCCACUACCUGCUUUCCCUCAAGAACUGGCUGAACCGUUACAGCUGGCAACGGACCCCCAUUGCCGUCACUGCCUGGGCCCUGCUGCGGGACAGCUACCACGGGGGGCUGUGCCUCCACUUCCGGGCUCAGCACAUAGCCGUGGCAGUGCUCUUCCUGGCCCUGCAGGUCUAUGGAGUCGAGGUGCCUGCUGAGGCCGAGGCCGAGAAGCCAUGGUGGCAGGCAUCAAUCAGCUUCCUGGCGCAGGGCAGCUGCAGCAUCUGACCAAGGGCUUGUUGCUUUGCUCUUUCUUUCCCUUGUCAUGGAGGUCCCCAAGAGUCCCCUCAGGCUCAAUGAUGUGCUGAGAGGACUCAGAAGUCAGAAAAUUCGUCACACUGACAGUUACAGUUUAUUGCAACGAAAGGACACAGGUUAAAAGCAGCAAAGGUACAAGAUUUAUACCAUGGACACAGAGCUCCCCUAAGGCCCCGGCCCAGGCCUGCCCAAAGAGAAGCCCAGGAUGGUCGGCUGCCUGGGGAUGGUGCCACCACGUCGCUGUGACAGCUGGUCCCCAGAGGACCAGCUGGGAGGACUGUUGUGCUGCUGGAGAUGGGCUGGUGAAGGCGAUGACAUGCUGCCGCUUUGUCCCCAGCAGCCGCGGUCCAGACGACGAUGGGAGCCGCACCUCCAGCAGGCAGGCCGGGAGCGCACUGUGUGCAGCUGACCCGAGGCGGCCAUGUCUGCUUUUGUCCUUUGAGAGGACUCCGACUGCAAGUGAGGCAUGACAUCAUUGCAAGGAAAGUCAAAGAACAGAUGGGACUGUAUCCCUAGGGAUUUUUUAAAGCCAGAUUUAUAGAAAGUGGGAUGUGCAACAUAGAUGGGAUUUUAUUUUGUGUAAUAAAAGAUGAUGCGAAUCA